AUUAGUGGCGAACGGGUGAGUAACACGUGGGCGAUCUGCCCUGUCGCUCUGGGACAAGCCCUGGAAACGGGGUCUAAUACCGGAUAUGACUGUCCAUCGCAUGAUGGAUGGUGUAGAGCUCCGGCGGUGCUGGAUGAGCCCGCGGCCUAUCAGCUUGUUGGUGAGGUAGUGGCUCACCAUGGCGACGACGGGUAGCCGGCCUGAGAGGGCGACCGGCCACACUGGGACUGAAACUCGGCCCAGACUCCUACGGGAGGCAGCAGUGGGGAAUAUUGCACUAUGGGCGAGAGCCUGAUGCAGCGACRCCSCGUGAGGGAUGACGGCCUUCGGGUUGUAAACCUCUUUCACCAGGGAAGAAGCGAAAGUGACGGUCCCUGCAGAAGAAGCGCCGGCUAACUACGUGCCAGCAGCCGCGGUAAUACGUAGGGCGCAAGCGUUGUCCGGAAUUAUUGGGCGUAAAGAGCUCGUAGGCGUCUUGUCACGUCGGUUGUGAAAGCCCGGGGCUUAACCCCGGGUCUGCAGUCGAUACGGGCAGGCUAGAGUUCGGUAGGGGAGAUCGGAAUUCCUGGUGUAGCGGUGAAAUGCGCAGAUAUCAGGAGGAACACCGGUGGCGAAGGCGGAUCUCUGGGCCGAUACUGACGCUGAGGAGCGAAAGCGUGGGGAGCGAAUCGGAUUAGAUACCCUGGUAGUCCACGCCGUAACGGUGCUGCUAGGUGUGGCAACAUUCCUCCACGUUGUCCGUGCCGCAGCUAACGCAUUAAGUGCCCCGCCUGGGGAGUACGGCCGCAAGGCUAAAACUCAAAGGAAUUGACGGGGGCCCGCACAAGCGGCGGAGCAUGUGGCUUAAUUCGACGCAACGCGAAGAACCUUACCAAGGCUUGACAUACACCGGAAACGUCUGGAGACAGGCGCCCCCUUGUGGUCGGUGUACAGGUGGUGCAUGGCUGUCGUCAGCUCGUGUCGUGAGAUGUUGGGUUAAGUCCCGCAACGAGCGCAACCCUUGUCCCGUGUUGCCAGCAGGCCCUUGUGGUGCUGGGGACUCACGGGAGACCGCCGGGGUCAACUCGGAGGAAGGUGGGGACGACGUCAAGUCAUCAUGCCCCUUAUGUCUUGGGCUGCACACGUGCUACAAUGGCCGGUACAAUGAGCUGCGAUACCGCGAGGUGGAGCGAAUCUCAAAAAGCCGGUCUCAGUUCGGAUUGGGGUCUGCAACUCGACCCCAUGAAGUCGGAGUCGCUAGUAAUCGCAGAUCAGCAUUGCUGCGGUGAAUACGUUCCCGGGCCUUGUACACACCGCCCGUCACGUCACGAAAGUCGGUAACACCCGAAGCCGGUGGCCCAACCCCU
RNAcentral lists this ribosomal RNA (1346 nucleotides) under Streptomyces sp. RNAcentral's name for it is "bacterial SSU rRNA". The record is from RNAcentral. Lineage: Bacteria; Bacillati; Actinomycetota; Actinomycetes; Kitasatosporales; Streptomycetaceae.